RNAcentral lists this ribosomal RNA (2898 nucleotides) under Clostridioides difficile. RNAcentral describes it as "23S ribosomal RNA". It matches the Rfam family "Bacterial large subunit ribosomal RNA". Lineage: Bacteria; Bacillati; Bacillota; Clostridia; Peptostreptococcales; Peptostreptococcaceae. The record is from RNAcentral.
GGUCAAGUUAUUAAGGGUGCAGGGCGGAUGCCUUGGCACUAGGAGCCGAUGAAGGACGUGAUAAGCUGCGAUAAGCUUCGGGGAGUUGCACGUAAACUUUGAUCCGAAGAUUUCCGAAUGAGGAAACUCACUUAGAGUAAUGUCUAAGUAUCAUUAAGUGAAUACAUAGCUUAAUGAGGGGAACUCAGGGAACUGAAACAUCUAAGUACCUGAAGGAAGAGAAAGAAAUUCGAUUCCGUAAGUAGCGGCGAGCGAACGCGGAUUAGCCCAAACCAAUAAAGUUUUCUUUAUUGGGGUUGCGGACAUAUCAUAACGAAGAGGUAUCGUAAUUGAAGAGGUUUGGAAAGACCCACCACAGAAGGUAAUAGUCCUGUAUGUUAAACGAGAAGACUUCAGAUAUGAUCCAGAGUACCACGGGACACGUGAAACCCUGUGGGAAGCAGGAGGGACCACCCUCCAAGGCUAAAUACUACCUAGUGACCGAUAGCGUAUAGUACCGUGAGGGAAAGGUGAAAAGAACCCCGGGAGGGGCGUGAAAUAGAACCUGAAACCCUGCACUUACAAGCUGUGGAAGCACAUUUCUUGUGUGACCGCGUACUUUUUGUAGAACGGGCCAACGAGUUACGUUAAGUAGCAAGGUUAAGCACUUAAGGUGUGGAGCCGUAGCGAAAGCGAGUUUUAACUGAGCGUUCAGUUACUUGACGUAGACCCGAAACCGGGCGACCUACCCAUGAGCAGGAUGAAGCGAAAGUAAAAUUUCGUGGAGGUCCGAACCCACGAGCGUUGAAAAGCUCGGGGAUGACUUGUGGGUAGCGGUGAAAUUCCAAUCGAGCCCGGAGAUAGCUGGUUCUCCCCGAAAUAGCUUUAGGGCUAGCCUCAAGGUGAGAGAUACGGAGGUAGAGCACUGAAUGUCCUAGGGGGUGUUGCACCUACCGAAGACUAUCAAACUCCGAAUGCCGUCAUCUUAUACUUGGGAGUCAGACUGUGGGUGAUAAGAUUCAUAGUCGAAAGGGCAACAGCCCAGAUCGUCAGCUAAGGUCCCUAAAUGUAAGUUAAGUGGUAAAGGAUGUGGGAUUGCACAGACAACCAGGAUGUUGGCUUAGAAGCAGCCACUCAUUCAAAGAGUGCGUAAUAGCUCACUGGUCGAGUGAUCCUGCGCCGAAGAUUUCCGGGGCUAAAACUUACUACCGAAGCUACGGCAUCAGUAAUGAUGGGUAGGGGAGCUUCCCAUACGGGUUGAAGCAUGACCGUAAGGACAUGUGGACAGUAUGGGAGUGAGAAUGUUGGCAUGAGUAGCGAGAUGUGGGUGAGAAUCCCACAGGCCGUAAACCCAAGGUUUCCAGGGGAAGGUUCGUCCGCCCUGGGUUAGUCGGGACCUAAGCUGAGGCCGAAAGGCGUAGGUGAUGGACAACAGGUUGAUAUUCCUGUACUACCGAUAACCAUUUGAGAGAAGGGAUGACACAGUAGGAUAAGCUAAGCACACUGUUGGUUAUGUGUGCCCAAGCAUUGAGGCAGUCAAAGUAGGCAAAUCCGCUUUGAUAAUGCUGGGAUGUGAUGGGGAGCGAAAUUUAGUAGCGAAGUAGCUGAUUUCACACUGUCAAGAAAAGUCUCUAUCGAGGUUAAAGGUACCCGUACCGCAAACCGACACAGGUGGGUGAGGAGAGUAUCCUAAGGCCAGCGAGAGAACUGUUGUUAAGGAACUCGGCAAAAUGACCCCGUAACUUAGGGAUAAGGGGUGCCACCAUCAGGUGGCCGCAGAGAAUAGGCCCAAGCGACUGUUUACCAAAAACAUAGGUUUCUGCUAAGUCGCAAGACGAUGUAUAGGAGCUGACGCCUGCCCGGUGCUGGAAGGUUAAGGGGAUCUGUUAGAGCAAUCGAAGCAGUGAACUUAAGCCCCAGUAAACGGCGGCCGUAACUAUAACGGUCCUAAGGUAGCGAAAUUCCUUGUCGGGUAAGUUCCGACCCGCACGAAAGGCGUAACGAUUUGGGCACUGUCUCAACAACAGACUCGGUGAAAUUGUAAUUCCGGUGAAGAUGCCGGAUACCUGCGACAGGACGGAAAGACCCCAUGGAGCUUUACUGUAGCUUGACAUUGGGUCUUGGUACUACAUGUACAGGAUAGGUGGGAGGCUUUGAAACCAGGACGCCAGUUUUGGCGGAGCCAUCCUUGGGAUACCACCCUUGUAGUACUGGGACUCUAACCAUAGGCCAUGAAUCUGGUCUUGGGACACUGUCAGGUGGGCAGUUUGACUGGGGCGGUCGCCUCCCAAAAGGUAACGGAGGCGCUCAAAGGUUCUCUCAGUACGGUCGGAAAUCGUACGUAGAGUGUAAAGGCAAAAGAGAGCUUGAUUGCAAGACAUACAGGUCGAGCAAGGAUGAAAAUCGGACUUAGUGAUCCGGUGGUUCUGCGUGGAAGGGCCAUCGCUCAACGGAUAAAAGCUACCCUGGGGAUAACAGGCUUAUCUCCCCCAAGAGUCCACAUCGACGGGGAGGUUUGGCACCUCGAUGUCGGCUCAUCACAUCCUGGGGCUGUAGUAGGUCCCAAGGGUUGGGCUGUUCGCCCAUUAAAGUGGUACGCGAGCUGGGUUCAGAACGUCGUGAGACAGUUCGGUCCCUAUCCGUCGCAGGCGUAGGAAAUUUGAGAAGACCUGUCCUUAGUACGAGAGGACCGGGAUGGACGUACCUCUGGUGUACCAGUUGUUCUGCCAAGGGCAUGGCUGGGUAGCUAUGUACGGAAUGGAUAAGCGCUGAAAGCAUCUAAGCGCGAAGCCAACUUCAAGAUAAGAUUUCCCACCGCAAGGGUAAGACCCCAGAAAGACUAUCUGGUUGAUAGGUCGAAGGUGUAAGUGCAGCAAUGUAUUUAGCUUAUCGAUACUAAUAGGUCGAGGACUUGACCAA